Molecule: long non-coding RNA, 1889 nt
Filed under: Gallus gallus (chicken)
Lineage: Eukaryota; Metazoa; Chordata; Aves; Galliformes; Phasianidae
Source: RNAcentral
UUGGGGGAGGGCUCCGGGUCCCCCCCCUUUCCCUGAGGGGCAUUUUUGGGGGGCUUCAGAUCCCCCCCCCUCCUUGGGGGGCAUUUUUGGGUAACUGCAGCCCCCCCCUAUAGAUGGCACUGCCCCAUUCGGAGCCCCCCCCGCACCCCCACCCCCCCCGGCGCCGCUUUUCCCUUUGGGUUUUCCAGUUGUGCCUUAACCGGGGAGCAGCGCUCAGUGGGACACCAAUGGGACCCCCCGUGUGACACCGAGGGGACACCAAUGGGACCCCAAUGGGACACCGGGACCCCCAGUGUGACACCAAUGGGACCCCAGUGAGACCCCCUGUGUGACACCAAGGGGACACCAAUGGGACACCAACGGGACCCCAGUGAGACCCCCAGUGUGACACCAAUGGGACCCCAAUGGGACCCCCCGUGUGACUCCAAUGGGACACCAACGGGACACCAAUGGGACACCGGGACCCCCAGUGUGACACCAAUGGGACCCCAGUGAGACCCCCAGUGUGACACCGAGGGGACACCGAGGGGACACCGGGACCCCCAGUGUGACUCCAAUGGGACACCAAUGGGACACCAAUGGGACUCCAAUGGGACACCAAUGGGACCCCCAGUGUGACACCAACGGGACCCCAAUGGGACCCCCCGUGUGACACCAACGGGACACCAAUGGGACACCAAUGGGACCCCCAGUGUGACACCGAGGGGACACCAGUGGGACACCAAUGGGACACCGGGACCCAAAGUGUGACACCGAGAGGACCCCCAGUGUGACACAAAGGGGACUCCAAUGGGACACCGGGACCCCCACUGUGACACCGAGGGGACACCGAGGGGACACCGGGACCCCCAGUGUGACUCCAAUGGGACCCCAGUGAGACCCCCAGUGUGACUCCAAUGGGACACCAACGGGACACCGGGACCGCCAGUGUGAUACCAGUGGGACCCCAGUGAGACCCCCAGUGUGACACCGAGGGGACACCGAGGGGACCCCAAUGGGACCCCAGUGUGACUCCAAGGGGACACCAAUGGUUCCCCCAGUGUGACACCGAGGAGACACCAAUGGAACACCAAGAAGACACCAAUGGGACCCCCAGUGUGACACCAGUGGGACACCAAUGGGACACCAAUGGGACACCAAUGGGACACUGGGACCCAAAGUGUGACACCGAGAGGACCCCCAGUGUGACACCAAUGGGACACCAAUGGGACACUGAGGGGACACCAAUGGGACCCACAGCGCCCCAAUGUGACACUGAGGGGACAGUGGGACCCCCAGCACUUUGAGGUGACCCCAAAGGGACCCCCAAUGUGACACUGAGGGGACACCAAUGGGACCCACUGUGCCCCAAUGUGACACUGGGGGAGCAGUGGGACCCCCGGCACUCUGAUGUGACCCCGAGGGGACCCCCAGUGUGACACUGAGGGGACCCACUGUGCCUCAAUGUGACCCCGAGGGGACCCCCAAUGUGACACUGUGGGGACAGUGGGACCCCCCAGCAGUUCGCGGUGACCCCGAGGGGACCCCCAAUGUGACACUGAGGGGACAGCGGGACCCACAGCGCCCCAAUGUGACACUGGGGGGACAGUGGGACCCCCACCACUCUGAUGUGACACUGAGGGGACCCCCAGUGUGACACUGAGGGGACAGUGGGACCCCCCACCACUUCGAGGUGACCCGGAGGGGACCCCCACCACUCUGAUGUGACCCCGAGGGGACCCCCGAUGUGACACUGAGGGGACAGUGGGACCCCCAGCACUCUGAUGUGACCCCGAGUGGCCCCACACGGCUCCAUGGGACCCCACUGUGGGGCAGUGGUGGUUAUGCGGGGGGGUCGGGGGCUGCUGCCCCCCCCCACAGCCGCCCCCUGCAGAGCUGUCCCCCCCCCC